RNAcentral lists this ribosomal RNA (165 nucleotides) under Lathyrus oleraceus (garden pea). RNAcentral's name for it is "Pisum sativum (pea) 5.8S ribosomal RNA". The stretch from base 1 to 139 matches the Rfam family "5.8S ribosomal RNA", at positions 18 to 154 of the family's 154-position model. Rfam says of the family: 5.8S ribosomal RNA (5.8S rRNA) is a component of the large subunit of the eukaryotic ribosome. The record is from RNAcentral. Lineage: Eukaryota; Viridiplantae; Streptophyta; Magnoliopsida; Fabales; Fabaceae.
AUCUAGGCUCUUGCAUCGAUGAAGAACGUAGCGAAAUGCGAUACUUGGUGUGAAUUGCAGAAUCCCGUGAACCAUCGAGUCUUUGAACGCAAGUUGCGCCCGAUGCCAUUAGGUUGAGGGCACGUCUGCCUGGGUGUCACAUAUCUGAAGCCUCCUGCCAAUUUC